This 460-nucleotide ribosomal RNA is filed under the name uncultured bacterium. RNAcentral's name for it is "partial 16S ribosomal RNA". It matches the Rfam family "Bacterial small subunit ribosomal RNA", at positions 338 to 795 of the family's 1533-position model. The record is from RNAcentral.
CCUACGGGAGGCAGCAGUGAGGAAUAUUGGUCAAUGGACGAGAGUCUGAACCAGCCAAGUAGCGUGAAGGAUGACUGCCCUAUGGGUUGUAAACUUCUUUUAUAUGGGAAUAAAAUGUUCCACGUGUGGGCUUUUGUAUGUACCAUAUGAAUAAGGAUCGGCUAACUCCGUGCCAGCAGCCGCGGUAAUACGGAGGAUCCGAGCGUUAUCCGGAUUUAUUGGGUUUAAAGGGAGCGUAGGUGGAUUGUUAAGUCAGUUGUGAAAGUUUGGGGCUCAACCGUAAAAUUGCAGUUGAAACUGGCAGUCUUGAGUACAGUAGAGGUGGGCGGAAUUCGUGGUGUAGCGGUGAAAUGCUUAGAUAUCACGAAGAACUCCGAUUGCGAAGGCAGCUCACUGGACUGCAACUGACACUGAGGCUCGAAAGUGUGGGUAUCAAACAGGAUUAGAUACCCGUGUAGUC